RNAcentral lists this ribosomal RNA (425 nucleotides) under uncultured bacterium. Its description in RNAcentral is "bacterial SSU rRNA". It matches the Rfam family "Bacterial small subunit ribosomal RNA", at positions 354 to 796 of the family's 1533-position model. The record is from RNAcentral.
GUGGGGAAUAUUGGACAAUGGGCGCAAGCCUGAUCCAGCCAUGCCGCGUGAGUGAUGAAGGCCCUAGGGUUGUAAAGCUCUUUCACCGGAGAAGAUAAUGACGGUAUCCGGAGAAGAAGCCCCGGCUAACUUCGUGCCAGCAGCCGCGGUAAUACGAAGGGGGCUAGCGUUGUUCGGAUUUACUGGGCGUAAAGCGCACGUAGGCGGAUCGAUCAGUCAGGGGUGAAAUCCCAGAGCUCAACUCUGGAACUGCCUUUGAUACUGUCGAUCUGGAGUAUGGAAGAGGUGAGUGGAAUUCCGAGUGUAGAGGUGAAAUUCGUAGAUAUUCGGAGGAACACCAGUGGCGAAGGCGGCUCACUGGUCCAUUACUGACGCUGAGGUGCGAAAGCGUGGGGAGCAAACAGGAUUAGAUACCCUUGUAGUCC